UGAUAGAAUUGCAAAAGAUGCAAGUGUUUCAUUGAAGAAACCUGCUUCCACAAAGGAGUCUAUAAUUGCUUCACCAAGGAAACCUGGGAAAGAAAACUCUUUUGAUCGAAACAAUGAUCUGAGUGAGCAUUCUCAGAGUUUAACACUAGUCUCUAAGAAGUCCAAGAAAAUAAGGAGGGAAGGAUUACUGGAAGUUAAUCAUAGCAUCAGGAAUGAUGAUGAUGAUAAUGCUAAUUCAAAGGAGAGUGGUCAGAAGAAGCCUAGACUUACUAGGGAAGUUUCUAAAAACAAAGUAAAGGUAAAUGAAGAGGAUAAGAGUGUUUUGAUUGGGAAAAGUAAGUCUAAGACACAGUACAAGGCCAUUCCUAAGAAAGAAGUGAAGAGAAAUGGAAAGGAUGAAGGUGUUAUUGUGGAAGAAAAGAAGUCUAAGACACAGUCUCAAGAUGUAUCAAAGAAAGAAAUAACUGUGAAUAAAAAGGCUGUAGGUAACUUUGUUGAGAAAAAGAAGCUUAAGACACAAAUGCCAAAGGAUGUUGCUGUUUGUCGUACUGCAAAGGAAGAGAGGGAUGCUGCAAAUUUUAAAAAUGGAGCAGUUUUGAGUGGUGUUAAAAUUGAUAAUCUUGAAACCAAGAAUAUGACAGCCAUAGAGCUGUGCAAGAUCAACAAGUGUACUGUGGAGCAGCAGAGCAAACAAAUUGAUAACAGCAUUCCAUUGCCUGUGUCCACCUGCUUAACUAAUGUAGCAGGAAUUGAGUUACCCCAUAAAGAUGCUGGGGAUGCAUUGCAAUUCUUCGAGUUUUGUGCUG
Molecule: unclassified non-coding RNA, 806 nt
Filed under: Hevea brasiliensis (rubber tree)
Lineage: Eukaryota; Viridiplantae; Streptophyta; Magnoliopsida; Malpighiales; Euphorbiaceae
Source: RNAcentral